RNAcentral lists this ribosomal RNA (482 nucleotides) under uncultured bacterium. RNAcentral's name for it is "partial 16S ribosomal RNA". It matches the Rfam family "Bacterial small subunit ribosomal RNA", at positions 30 to 507 of the family's 1533-position model. The record is from RNAcentral.
AUUGAACGCUGGCGGCAUGCCUUACACAUGCAAGUCGAACGGUAACAGGUCUUCGGAUGCUGACGAGUGGCGGACGGGUGAGUAAUACAUCGGAAUGUGUCCCGACGUGGUGGAUAACGAGGCGAAAGCUUUGCUAAUACCGCAUACGACCUAAGGAUGCAAGCAGGGGACCGCAAGGCCUUGUGCGUUUGGAGCGGCCGAUGGCAGAUUAGGUAGUUGGUGGGAUAAAAGCUUACCAAGCCGACGAUCUGUAGCUGGUCUGAGAGGACGACCAGCCACACUGGGACUGAGACACGGCCCAGACUCCUACGGGAGGCAGCAGUGGGGAAUUUUGGACAAUGGGCGAAAGCCUGAUCCAGCAAUGCCGCGUGAAGGAUGAAGGCCUUCGGGUUGUAAACUGCUUUUGUACGGAAAGAAAAGGCUCUGGCUAAUACCUGGGGGACAUGACGGUACCGAAAGAAUAAGCACCGGCUAACUACGUG